Molecule: ribosomal RNA, 403 nt
Filed under: Verrucomicrobiota bacterium
Lineage: Bacteria; Pseudomonadati; Verrucomicrobiota
Description: Verrucomicrobia bacterium partial 16S ribosomal RNA
Rfam family: Bacterial small subunit ribosomal RNA
Source: RNAcentral
UGGGGAAUUUUGCACAAUGGGGGAAACCCUGAUGCAGCGACGCCGCGUGAUUUAGAAGGCCUUCGGGUUGUAAAAAUCUUUUCUAUGGGAAGAAAAUGACAGUACCAUAGGAAUAAGGACCGGCUAAUUACGUGCCAGCAGCCGCGGUAAUACGUAGGUGGCAAGCGUUGUCCGGAAUUAUUGGGCGUAAAGCGCGCGCAGGUGGUUUAGAAAGUCUGAUGUGAAAGCCCACGGCUCAACCGUGGAGGGUCAUUGGAAACUAAUAAACUUGAGUGCAGGAGAGAAAAGUGGAAUUCCUAGUGUAGCGGUGAAAUGCGUAGAGAUUAGGAGGAACACCGGUGGCGAAAGCGGCUUUUUGGCCUGCAACUGACACUGAGGCGCGAAAGCGUGGGGAGCAAACAGG